GAUCCUGGCUCAGAAUCAACGCUGGCGGCGUGCCUAACACAUGCAAGUCGAACGAGAAAGUGGGGGCAACUCCACGAGGUACAGUGGCAGACGGGGUGAGUACCACGUGAACCAACCUACCCUUGAGUGUGGGAUACCACCGCGAAAAGCGGUGCUAACACCGCAUAACAUCUUUGGGUUGCAUGACUCGAAGAUCAAAAGCGCAAGUUGCUCGAGGAGGGGUUCGCGCCUGAUUAGCUAGUUGGUGAGGUAACGGCCCACCAAGGCGACGAUCAGUAGCCGGCCUGAGAGGGCGAACGGCCACACUGGAACUGAGACACGGUCCAGACUCCUACGGGAGGCAGCAGUGGGGAAUUUUGCGCAAUGGGCGAAAGCCUGACGCAGCAACGCCGCGUGGAGGAUGAAGGCCUUCGGGUCGUAAACUCCUGUCAGUGGGGACGAAUGCUUCGAGAGAAGUUUGACUGUACCCGCUGAGGAAGCCACGGCUAACUCCGUGCCAGCAGCCGCGGUAAUACGGAGGUGGCAAGCGUUGUUCGGAAUUACUGGGCGUAAAGGGCGCGUAGGCGGCUUUGCAAGUCAGAUGUGAAAGCCCCAGGCUUAACCUGGGAAUUGCAUCUGAAACUGCUUUGCUUGAGUCCUGGAUGGGAUAGUGGAAUUCCCAGUGUAGCGGUGAAAUGCGUAGAUAUUGGGAGGAACACCUGCGGCGAAGGCGGCUAUCUGGACAGUGGCUGACGCUGAGGCGCGAAAGCUAGGGGA
RNAcentral lists this ribosomal RNA (756 nucleotides) under uncultured Acidobacteriota bacterium. RNAcentral's name for it is "bacterial SSU rRNA". It matches the Rfam family "Bacterial small subunit ribosomal RNA", at positions 15 to 767 of the family's 1533-position model. The record is from RNAcentral. Lineage: Bacteria; Pseudomonadati; Acidobacteriota.